RNAcentral lists this ribosomal RNA (387 nucleotides) under uncultured bacterium. Its description in RNAcentral is "bacterial SSU rRNA". It matches the Rfam family "Bacterial small subunit ribosomal RNA", at positions 30 to 417 of the family's 1533-position model. The record is from RNAcentral.
AUUGAACGCUGGCGGCAUGCCUUACACAUGCAAGUCGAACGGCAGCACGGGAGCAAUCCUGGUGGCGAGUGGCGAACGGGUGAGUAAUGUAUCGGAACGUACCUUUCAGUGGGGGAUAACGUAGCGAAAGUUACGCUAAUACCGCAUAUUCUGUGAGCAGGAAAGCAGGGGAUCGCAAGACCUUGCGCUGAUUGAGCGGCCGAUAUCAGAUUAGCUAGUUGGUGAGGUAAAGGCUCAUCAAGGCGACGAUCUGUAGCGGGUCUGAGAGGAUGAUCCGCCACACUGGAACUGAGACACGGUCCAGACUCCUACGGGAGGCAGCAGUGGGGAAUUUUGGACAAUGGGCGCAAGCCUGAUCCAGCCAUGCCGCGUGAGUGAAGAAGGCCU